RNAcentral lists this transfer RNA (64 nucleotides) under Psylla alni. RNAcentral's name for it is "tRNA-Ser". Lineage: Eukaryota; Metazoa; Arthropoda; Insecta; Hemiptera; Psyllidae. The record is from RNAcentral.
UAGCUUAAUAAUUUAUAUAAAAUAUUUACCUUGAAAGUAAAAAAUAGAAAUAUUUCUUUAAGCU